RNAcentral lists this long non-coding RNA (14476 nucleotides) under Zea mays. RNAcentral describes it as "long non-coding RNA (ZMAY_LNC005096)". Lineage: Eukaryota; Viridiplantae; Streptophyta; Magnoliopsida; Poales; Poaceae. The record is from RNAcentral.
AUAAAACCUGAACCAUAUGCCCCCCUCACCCCCACCCAAAAAACAAUGUUGACGUUGCUGUGUGAGGUGAUGACUUGGCGCAUUACAAUUUGCAACAGUGUGCCAUUUCUCAGUAGCACUAUUUUCAAGAUUCAGAUCAGCUUGUGACAAACAUCCAUCACACCAUUACGGUGCCGUUUGGUUCAGCUUCUUGCCGGAUUCUGGCCGCCAGAAGCCGAAGCGUCUCCCAAACGCCUAAAUUCUCGACCCGCUUUUGCGCGCCGCGCUUCGACGAGAAGCCAGCCACCUACGCGACGCCAGAAGCGGCCCUCACGCCGCGUCCGCAGAAAGCCGCCCUCAUUUCGCUAGGGUUCGCAACCCGCGUCCCUCACGACGCUCUCGUCCCCGUCGCAUCUCGCCGCCGCAGCUCUCCUCCCCAUCGCAUCUCCCGCCCCAGCGCUCGUCGUUGGCCGAAAGCCGGCCCCAUUCGCGACGCCCGCGGCGCUCGUCUCGUCCCCCAUCGCAUCUCUCGCCGCCGCGCUCGUCGUCUUCGCAGGUAAGCUCCUCUCAUCCAUGGCGACCCUCUCUUCUUUCUCCUCCGCCGCGGAGGUCGUUUCGAUGGCUCCGUGACCCUUCAGUUCUCUAGGGGUUUGACCGCGGAUCGUCAAGCUGCAACUCGUCCCAACAUCGCAUCUCGUCGUCUUCGCAGGUACUUCCUCUCCUCCAUCCCGCCCCUCUCACAAUCUCCUCUGCCGACGCCCUCGUUUGGAUAUCUCUCGUCUCUAUCUGUUACGGAUCCGUUCGUCCCCCAUGUAAUGAUUAGGGUUUAGGUUGCAUCCACGUCCGUGGUUAAGUAUCCCCCCUGUAUUGUGUAGUAGCAAGUGUUAUUUCAAGUAUGCAGAGAUGCAGUUUAAGCUUUUUGGUCUCGGUUUAGGAGAAACCAUUGAAGUGUGUUUUGCACUAUUAUUUGUUUCUUUGUUAAUUGAAGCAUAGUUUUGUUUGUUAGCAGCCGAGGUAGUAAUUCGUUUCAAUUACUGGAUUUAAGUACAUUGUCCCCAUGUCCAGUUUAUUCACUACAUACUUUUGUUUCGAGCGACGUACUAACGAUUUUGUUGUGUAAUGUACACUUCAGAUUUUCCCAUCAACUCGGGUUCUUCCUGUUCGGUUCCAAGAUCCACUGCAGGCAAGGUAAUGUCAAUAUCUAUUUGUUGGUUAAAUAACUGUGAGCAUAGAUGAGGUGUUACCAAAUUUUCUUCUCGGUGAAAGGGAUACCAUUGAUGUGUUUUAUCCCUAAUUUUUUAUCUGGGUUUAUUUCAAAGUUUGUCUAUGUCAGUACCUGAAUGUUAGUUGCUAGCACCUCAGUUUGUCCAUGUUACCACGCAAUUCAUGUCAAAACAUGGAAGUUAGUAGAUAGUCCCCUUGUCUAGUACACUAACCAACUAAAUCCACAUCAGAUGGAUUCAGCAGACUCCAUAGCCGACAAGGCAAUUGGAUGGAUGCAAGAGAUUGCGGACAAGAUAUUUUCCGUAGCCCGGGAAACAAUCCGUCCGGGACGCGGGUUGACCUCAUUUGACGCAACCAAACUUCGUGUAGCAUUGGAGGACAUAGCUUGCAUGCUUGAGCAAGACUCUCUGGUGUUGCAAGAGAAUUUGGACAACGUGAACAACGUUAUCAACCCGGGUGACACCUGCUACGAACCGUCAGCCUUGUCCUCACCAGCCCCAGCUGACGACUACAUUACUCCAUAUUGGGACUUUGCAGAGCACUUUGAAAACUUCUGGGGUCUAGAAUAUGACUCGGACCAGAUGCCUUCGUUUAGUGACAAUGAGGUUUAACUUAGACCAUGGUGAACAUUUGAAGAAGAUGGUAGUUUAACAGGGAUAGAUCAGCCUUUUGCUUAAUGAGCAGUUAUAUAGUGUUCCCUGUGCUUUUGUGUCCAGCAGCACUUCGAUUUCUUCAGUCUAUAUAUGUAAUUAUGACAAACUUAAUCUGACUCCUUAUGAUACUACCUUAUGUUAUUAUGGUCCCUUACUUGUUCAUUUUGUUUUCUUAGUAAGUGCACUUCAAUACGUAUUUUCAAUCGUCUACACUUGUUUUGCACUAGAUGGACAAGUCUGGCAAAGUGAUUGCAAAGUGGGAUAGUAGAGCAACAAAAAUUUACACAGAAAUUUGUGUAGAAGAGGUCAAUGCACGGAACAAGCCACAACAAUUUCUAAAUGCCGAAGGGUAUGCUAACUGAUAGUCGCCUAGAGGGGGGUGAAUAGGGCGAAACUGAAAUUUACAAAUAUAAACACAACUACAAGCCGGGUUAGCGUUAGAAAUAUAAACGAGUCCGCGAGAGAGGGCGCAAAACAAAUCCCAAGCGAAUAAGCAAGUGAGACACGGAGAUUUGUUUUACCGAGGUUCGGUUCUUGCAAACCUACUCCCCGUUGAGGAGGCCACAAAGGCCGGGUCUCUUUCAACCCUUCCCUCUCUCAAACGGUCCCUCGGACCGAGUGAGCUUCUUUUCUCAAAUCAAAGCCGGGAACAAAACUUCCUCGCAAGGGCCACCACACAAUUGGUGCCUCUUGCCUUGAUUACAAUGGAGAUGUGAUCUCAAGAACAAGUGAGAAAGAAAAAGAAGCAAUCCAAGCGCAAGAGCUCAAAAGAAACACGGCAAAUCUCUCUCUCUAAUCACUAAAGCCUUUCGUGGAAUUGGAGAGGAUUUGAUCUCUUUUGGUGUGUCUAGAAUUGAAUGCUAGAGCUCUUGUAGUGGUUGAGAAGUGGAAAACUUGGAUGCAAUGAAUGGUGGGGUGGUUGGGGUAUUUAUAGCCCCAACCACCAAAUGUGGCCGUUGGGAGGCUGUCUGUUCGAUGGCGCACCGGACAGUCCGGUGCACACCGGACAGUCCGGUGCCCCCUGCCACGUCAUCACUGCCGUUGGAUUCUGACCGUUGGAGCUUCUGACUUGUGGGCCCGCCUGGGUGUCCGGUGCACACCGGACAGGUACUGUUUGAUGUCCGGUGUGCCAGCAUGGGCGAUUCUGACUUCUGCGCGCGCAGAGCGCGCAUUAAAUGCGCGGCAGAGAGCCGUUGGCGCGGAGACGACCGUUGCUUCGCAGUCGCACCGGACAGUCCGGUGCACACCGGACAGUCCGGUGAAUUAUAGCGGACUAGCCGUUGGCGUUUCCCGAAGCUGGCGAGUUCCUGAGGUCGACCUCUCUUGGCGCACCGGACACUGUCCGGUGUACACCGGACAGUCCGGUGAAUUAUAGCCGAGUCGCCCUGGAAAUUCCCGAAGGUGGCGAGUUUGAGUCUGAGUCCCCUGGUGCACCGGACAGGUACUGUUCACUGUCCGGUGGCACACCGGACAGUCCGGUGCGCCAGACCAGGGGUGCCUUCGGUUGCCCCUUUGCUCCUUUGUUGAAUCCAAAACUUGGUCUUUUUAUUGGCUGAGUGUGAACCUUUUACACCUGUAUAAUCUACACACUUGGGCAAACUAGUUAGUCCAAUUAUUUGUGUUGGGCAAUUCAACCACCAAAAUUAUUUGGGAACUAGGUGUAAGCCUAAUUCCCUUUCAAUCUCCCCCUUUUUGGUGAUUGAUGCCAACACAAACCAAAGCAAAUAUAGAAGUGCACAAUUGAACUAGUUUGCAUAAUGUAAGUGUAAAGGUUGCUUGGAAUUGAGCCAAUAAAACUACUUACAAGAUAUGCAUGGAAUGUUUCUUUCUAUAUUUAGCAUUUUGGACCACGUUUGCACCACAUGCUUUGUUUUUGCAAAUCCUUUUGUAAAUCCAUUUCAAAGAUCUUUUGCAAAUAGUCAAAGGUAAAUGAAUAAGAGUUUGCAAAGCAUUUUCAAGAUUUGAAAUUUUCUCCCCUCGUUUCAAAUGCUUUUCCUUUGACUUAACAAAACUCCCCCUAAAUGAGAUACUCCUCUUAGUGUUCAAGAGGGUUUUGAUAUACCAUUUUUGAAAUACUACUUUCUCCCCCUUUUGAACAUAAUAGGAUACCAUUUGAUAAAUACUCUUGGAAAGCAACUAGUGUUUUUUUUUAAUUGGUAAAUUUCAAAUUGGUGGUGGUGCGGUCCUUUUGCUUUGGGCUCAUUUCUCCCCCUUUUUGGCAUGAAUCGCCAAAAACGGAAUCAUUAGAGCCCUCAUACUAUCUUCCCCUUUGGUCAUAAGUAAACGAGUUAAGAUUAUACCAAAGACGAAGUCUUUUUGCUUUGAAGUCUCAUUUCUCCCCAAAGAAUAGAGAGAAGCUUGGAGUGAUGGCGAAGUAUGAGUUACGAAGUGGAAGCCUUUGUCUUCGCCGAAGACUCCAAUUCCCUUUCAAUAUACCUAUGACUUGGUUUGAAAUAGACUUGAAGACACAUUAGUCAUAGCAUAGAAAGGAGAUAUAAUCAAAGGUAUUCAAAUGAGCUAUGUGUGCAAGCUAGCAAAAGAAAUUUCUAGAAUCAAGAAUAUUGAGCUCAUGCCUAAGUCUGGUAAAAGAUUGUUCAUCAAGAGGCUUGGUAAAGAUAUCGGCUAAUUGAUCUUUAGUGUUAAUGUAAGAAAUCUCGAUAUCUCCCUUUUGUUGGUGAUCCCUAAGAAAAUGAUACCGAAUGGCUAUGUGCUUAGUGCGGCUAUGCUCGACGGGGUUGUCGGCCAUUUUGAUUGCACUCUCAUUAUCACAUAGUAAAGGAACUUUGGUUAAUUUGUAACCGUAGUCCCGCAGGGUUUGCCUCAUCCAAAGCAAUUGCGCGCAACAAUGGCCUGCGGCAAUGUACUCGGCUUCGGCGGUGGAAAGAGCGACCGAAUUUUGCUUCUUUGAAGCCCAAGACACCAAGGAUCUUCCCAAGAACUGGCAAGUCCCCGAUGUGCUCUUCCUAUUAAUCUUACACCCUGCCCAAUCGGCAUCCGAAUAACCAAUCAAAUCAAAAGUGGAUCCCCGAGGGUACCAAAGCCCAAACUUAGGAGUAUAAGCCAAAUAUCUCAAGAUUCGUUUUACGGCCGUAAGGUGGGAUUCCUUAGGGUCGGAUUGGAAUCUUGCACACAUGCAAACGGAAAGCAUAAUGUCCGGUCGAGAUGCACAUAAAUAAAGUAAUGAACCAAUCAUCGACCGGUAUACCUUUUGAUCCACGGACUUACCUCCCGUGUCGAGGUCGAGAUGCCCAUUGGUUCCCAUGGGUGUCUUGAUGGGCUUGGCAUCCUUCAUUCCAAACUUGGUUAGAAUGUCUUGAGUGUACUUCGUUUGGCAAAUGAAGGUGCCCUCUUGGAGUUGCUUGACUUGGAAUCCUAGAAAAUACUUCAACUCCCCCAUCAUCGACAUCUCGAAUUUCUGUGUCAUGAUCCUACUAAACUCUUCACAUGUGGACUCGUUAGUAGACCCAAAUAUAAUAUCAUCAACAUAAAUUUGGCAUACAAACAAGUCAUUUUCAAGAGUUUUAGUAAAGAGUGUAGGAUCGGCCUUGCCGACUUUGAAGCCAUUAGAAAUAAGGAAAUCUCUUAGGCAUUCAUACCAUGCUCUUGGGGCUUGCUUGAGCCCAUAAAGCGCCUUAGAGAGCCUAUAGACAUGAUUAGGGUACUCACUGUCUUCAAAGCCGGGAGGUUGCUCAACAUAGACCUCUUCCUUGAUUGGUCCGUUGAGGAAGGCACUUUUCACGUCCAUUUGAUAAAGCUUAAAGCCAUGGUAAGUAGCAUAGGCCAAUAAUAUGCGAAUUGACUCAAGCCUAGCUACGGGUGCAUAGGUUUCACCGAAAUCCAAACCUUCGACUUGGGAGUAUCCCUUGGCCACAAGUCGUGCUUUGUUCCUUGUCACCACACCAUGCUCAUCUUGCUUGUUGCGGAAGACCCAUUUGGUUCCUACAACAUUUUGGUUAGGACGUGGAACCAAAUGCCAUACCUCAUUCCUCGUGAAGUUGUUGAGCUCCUCUUGCAUCGCCACCACCCAAUCCGAAUCUUGAAGUGCUUCCUCUAUCCUGUGUGGCUCAAUAGAGGAAACAAAAGAGUAAUGUUCACAAAAAUGUGCAACACGAGAUCGAGUGGUUACCCCCUUAUGAAUGUCGCCGAGGAUGGUGUCGACGGGGUGAUCUCGUUGAAUUGCUUGGUGGACUCUUGGGUGUGGCGGCCUUGGUUCUUCCUCAUCCUCCUUUUCUUGAUCAAUUGCAUCUCCCCCUUGAUCAUUUCCAUCAUCUUGAGGUGGCUCAUCUUCUUGAUUUUGCCCUUCAUCAACUUGAGCCUCAUCCUCAUUUUGAGUUGGUGGAGAUGCUUGCAUGGAGGAGGAUGGUUGAUCUUGUGCACUUGGAAGCUCUUCGGAUUCCUUAGGACACACAUUCCCAAUGGACAUGUUCCUUAGCGCUAUGCAUGGAGCCUGUUCUUCACCUAUCUCAUCAAGAUCAACUUGCUCUACUUGAGAGCCGUUAGUUUCAUCAAACACAACGUCACAUGAGACUUCAACUAGUCCAGUGGACUUGUUAAAGACCCUAUAUGCCCUUGUGUUUGAGUCAUAACCAAGUAAAAAGCCUUCUACAGUUUUAGGAGCAAAUUUAGAUUUUCUACCUCUUUUAACAAGAAUAAAGCAUUUGCUACCAAAAACUCUAAAGUAUGAAAUGUUGGGCUUUUUACCGGUUAGGAGUUCAUAGGAUGUCUUCUUGAGGAUUCGGUGAAGAUAUAACCGAUUGAUGGCGUAGCAGGCGGUGUUGACUGCUUCGGCCCAAAACCGAUCCGAAGUCUUGUAUUCAUUAAGCAUGGUUCUUGCCAUGUCCAAUAGAGUUCUAUUCUUCCUCUCCACUACACCAUUUUGUUGUGGCGUGUAGGGUGAGGAGAACUCAUGCUUGAUGCCCUCCUCCUCAAGGAAACCUUCUAUUUGUGAGUUUUUGAACUCCGUCCCGUUGUCGCUUCUUAUCUUCUUGAUCCUUAAGCCAAACUCAUUUUGAGCUCGUCUCAAGAAUCCUUUUAAGGUCUCUUGGGUUUGAGAUUUUUCCUGUAAAAAGAAUACCCAAGUGAAGCGAGAAUAAUCAUCCACUAUUACAAGACAAUACUUACUCCCGCCGAUGCUUAAGUAAGCAAUCGGGCCGAAUAGAUCCAUGUGGAGUAGCUCAAGCGGCCUAUCGGUCGUCAUGAUGUUCUUGUGUGGAUGAUGGACUCCAACUUGCUUCCCCGCCUGGCAUGCGCUACAAAUCCUGUCUUUCUCAAAAUGAACAUUUGUUAAUCCUAAAAUGUGCUCUCCCUUUAGAAGCUUAUGAAGAUUCUUCAUCCCAACAUGGGCUAGUCGGCGGUGCCAGAGCCAACCCAUGUUAGUCUUAGCAAUUAAGCAUGUGUCGAGCUCAGCUCUAUCAAAAUCUACUAAGUAUAGCUGACCCUCUAACACACCCUUAAAUGCUAUUGAAUCAUCACUUCUUCUAAAGACAGUGACACCUACAUCAGUAAAAAGACAGUUGUAGCCCAUUUGACAUAAUUGUGAAACAGAAAGCAAGUUGUAAUCUAAAGAAUCUACAAGAAAAACAUUGGAAAUAGAAUGGUCAGGAGAUAUAGCAAUUUUACCCAAACCUUUGACCAAACCUUGAUUUCCAUCCCCGAAUGUGAUAGCUCGUUGGGGAUCUUGGUUUUUCUCAUAUGAGGAGAACAUCCUUUUCUCCCCGGUCAUGUGGUUUGUGCACCCGCUGUCGAGUAUCCAACUUGAGCCCCCGGAUGCAUAAACCUACAAAACAAUUUUAGUUCUUGACUUUAGGUACCCAAACGGUUUUGGGUCCUUUGGCAUUAGAUACAAGAACUUUGGGUACCCAAACACAAGUCUUGGAACCCUUGUGUUUGCCCCCAACAAACUUGGCAACUACUUUGCCGGAUUUGUUAGUAAGCACAUAAGAAGCAUCAAAAGUUUUAAAUGAAAUAGCAUGAUCAUUUGAUGCAUUAGGAGUUUUCUUUCUAGGCAACUUGACACGGGUUGGUUGCCUAGAACUAGAUGUCUCACCCUUAUACAUAAAAGCAUGAUUAGGGCCAGAGUGAGACUUCCUAGAAUGAAUUUUCCUAAUUUUGCUCUCAGGAUAGCCGGCAGGGUACAAAAUGUAGCCCUCGUUAUCCUGAGGCAUGGGAGCCUUGCCCUUAACAAAGUUAGACAAGUUCUUAGGAGGGGCAUUAAUUUUGACAUUGUCUCCCCUUUGGAAGCCAAUGCCAUCCUUAAUGCCCGGGCGUCUCCCAUUAUAAAGCAUGCUACGAGCAAAUUUAAAUUUCUCAUUUUCUAAGUUGUGCUCGGCAAUUUUAGCAUCAAGUUUAGCUAUAUGAUCAUUUUGUUGCUUAAUUAAGAUCAUGUGAUCAUGAAUAGCAUUAACAUCAAUAUCUCUACAUCUAGCACAAAUAGUGACAUGCUCAAUGGUAGAUGUAGAGGGUUUGCAAGAAUCAAGUUCCACAAUCUUAGCAUGAAGAAUAUCAUUUUUAUCUUUAAGAUUGGAAAUUGUAACUUUGCAAACAUCAAAAUCUUUAGCCUUAGCAAUUAAAUUUUCAUUCUCUAAUCUAAGGCUAGCAAGAGAUACAUUCAAUUCAUCAAUCUUAGCAAGCAAGUCAACAUUAUCAUCUCUAAGAUUGGGAAUUGAAACAUUACAAACAUGUGAAUCAACCUUAGCAUUUAAAAUAGCAUUUUCAUUUCUAAGGUUGUCAAUCAUCUCACGACAAGUGCUUAGCUCACUAGAUAAUUUUUCACAUUUCUCAAUUUCAAGAGCAUAAGCCUUUUUAACCUUAACAUGUUUUUUGUUUUCUUUAAUUAGACAAUCCUCUUGGGAAUCCAAAAGGUCAUCCUUUUCAUGAAUAGCACUAACCAAUUCAUUUAAUUUUUCCUUUUGAGCUAUGUUAAGGUUGGCAAAAAGGGAACGUAAAUUAUCUUCCUCAUCACUAGCAUUGUCAUCACUAGAGGAUUCAUAUUUAGUGGAGGACUUAGAUUUAACCUUCUUUUUGCCGUCUUUUGCCAUGAGGCACUUGUGGCCGACAUUGGGGAAGAGGAGUCCCUUGGUGACGGCGAUGUUGGCGGCGUCCUCGUCGUCGGAGGAGUCGCUUGAGCUCUCGUCGGAGUCCCACUCGCGACAAAUAUGGGCAUCGCCGCCCUUUUUCUUGUAGUACAUUUUCUUCUCCUUUCUUCUCCCCUUCUUGUCGUCGCCUCGGUCACUGUCACUAGAUAUAGGACAUUUAGCAAUAAAAUGACCGGGCUUACCACACUUGUAGCAAACCUUCUUGGAGCGGGACUUGUAAUCCUUCCCCCUCCUUUGCUUGAGGAUUUGGCGGAAGCUCUUGAUGACGAGCGCCAUUUCCUCAUUGUUGAGCUUGGAGGCGUCUAUGGGUUGGCGACUUGGUGUAGACUCCUCCUUCUUCUCCUCCGUUGCCUUGAAUGCAACGGGUUGAGCUUCGGAUGUGGUGGCAUCAUCAAGCUCGUUGAUCUUCCUCGAGCCUUCGAUCAUGCACUCAAAACUUACAAAAUUCCCGAUAACUUCCUCGGGGGUCAUUUUAGUAUAUCUAGGAUUACCACGAAUUAAUUGAACUUGAGUAGGGUUAAGGAAAAUAAGUGAUCUUAGAAUAACCUUAACCACCUCGUGGUCAUCCCACUUUACGCUCCCGAGGUUGCGUGCUUGGUUCACCAAGGUCUUGAGCCGAUUGUACAUGUGUUGUGGCUCCUCCCCUUUGCGAAGCCGGAACCGACCGAGCUCCCCCUCAAUCGUUUCCCGCUUGGUGAUCUUGGUGAGCUCAUCACCUUCAUGCGCGGUUUUGAGUAAAUCCCAAAUCUCCUUUGCGUUCUUCAACCCUUGAACUUUGUUAUACUCCUCUCUACUCAAAGAGGCUAGGAGUAUUGUUGUUGCUUGAGAGUUGAAGUGCUCGAUUUGGGCCACCUCAUCCUCAUCAUAGUUCUCAUCCCCUACGGAUGGUACCUGCGCACCAAACUCAACAACAUCCCAUAUGCUUUUGUGGAGCGAGGUUAGAUGAAAUCGCAUUAAAUCGCUCCACCUAGCGUAAUCUUCACCAUCAAAAGUUGGUGGUUUGCCUAGUGGGACGGAAAGUAAAGGAGUAUGUUUGGAAAUGCGAGGGUAGCGUAGGGGGAUCUUACUAUACUUCUUGCGCUCUUGGCGCUUAGAAGUGACGGAGGGCGCGUCGGAGUCGGAGGUUGAUGUUGAUGAAGUGUCGGUCUCGUAGUAGACCACCUUCCUCAUCCUUUUGUGCUUGUCCCCUCUCCGAUGCGGCUUGUGAGAAGAAGAUUUUUCCUUCUUCUCUUUGUGGUGAGAAGAGGAAGACUUUUUCUCCUUCCGUUUGGAGGAGUCCUUCUUCUUCUCCUUCCUCUUGGUGCGGGACUCUUCCGAUGAAGUGCUCCCGUGGCUUGUAGUGGGCUUUUCGCCGGUCUCCAUCUCCUUCUUGGCGUGAUCUCCCGACAUCACUUCGAGCGGUUAGGCUCUAAUGAAGCACCGGGCUCCGAUACCAAUUGAUAGUCGCCUAGAGGGGGGGUGAAUAGGGCGAAACUGAAAUUUACAAAUAUAAACACAACUACAAGCCGGGUUAGCGUUAGAAAUAUAAACGAGUCCGCGAGAGAGGGCGCAAAACAAAUCCCAAGCGAAUAAGCAAGUGAGACACGGAGAUUUGUUUUACCGAGGUUCGGUUCUUGCAAACCUACUCCCCGUUGAGGAGGCCACAAAGGCCGGGUCUCUUUCAACCCUUCCCUCUCUCAAACGGUCCCUCGGACCGAGUGAGCUUCUUUUCUCAAAUCAAAGCCGGGAACAAAACUUCCCCGCAAGGGCCACCACACAAUUGGUGCCUCUUGCCUUGAUUACAAUGGAGAUGUGAUCUCAAGAACAAGUGAGAAAGAAAAAGAAGCAAUCCAAGCGCAAGAGCUCAAAAGAAACACGACAAAUCUCUCUCUCUAAUCACUAAAGCCUUUCGUGGAAUUGGAGAGGAUUUGAUCUCUUUUGGUGUGUCUAGAAUUGAAUGCUAGAGCUCUUGUAGUGGUUAAGAAGUGAAAAACUUGGAUGCAAUGAAUGGUGGGGUGGUUGGGGUAUUUAUAGCCCCAACCACCAAAUGUGGCCGUUGGGAGGCUGUCUGUUCGAUGGCGCACCGGACAGUCCGGUGCACACCGGACAGUCCGGUGCCCCCUGCCACGUCAUCACUGCCGUUGGAUUCUGACCGUUGGAGCUUCUGACUUGUGGGCCCGCCUGGGUGUCCGGUGCACACCGGACAGGUACUGUUUGAUGUCCGGUGUGCCAGCAUGGGCGAUUCUGACUUCUACGCGCGCAGAGCGCGCAUUAAAUGCGCGGUAGAGAGCCGUUGGCGCGGAGACGACCGUUGCUUCUCAGUCGCACCGGACAGUCCGGUGCACACCGGACAGUCCGGUGAAUUAUAGCGGACUAGCCGUUGGCGUUUCCCGAAGCUGGCGAGUUCCUGAGGUCGACCUCUCUUGGCGCAUCGGACACUGUCCGGUGUACACCGGACAGUCCGGUGAAUUAUAGCCGAGUCGCCCUGGAAAUUCCCGAAGGUGGCGAGUUUGAGUCUGAGUCCCCUGGUGCACCGGACAGGUACUGUUCACUGUCCGGUGGCACACCGGACAGUCCGGUGCGCCAGACCAGGGGUGCCUUCGGUUGCCCCUUUGCUCCUUUGUUGAAUCCAAAACUUGGUCUUUUUAUUGGCUGAGUGUGAACCUUUUACACCUGUAUAAUCUACACACUUGGGCAAACUAGUUAGUCCAAUUAUUUGUGUUGGGCAAUUCAACCACCAAAAUUAUUUGGGAACUAGGUGUAAGCCUAAUUCCCUUUUACUAACCUCAUAAGAAAGUUUAAGGAACGCACUGGUCGCACUUACACCAAGGAUAAAAUGAAGAAUAGGUGGGACACCUUAAAGAGAAUGUUCACACAGUGGAAAACUCUUAAUGAAAGGGCUACAGGUCUUGGUCGAGACCCUCAUACUGGUUCAAUCAGUGCUCCAGAUGAGUGGUGGGCUAAGCAAAAUGAAGUAAGUAGACUUUUUUUAAUUUUUUAGAUUAACAAUAGUAAUGGCCAUCUCAAAGUAGGAAAUACCAUGUUGCUGCAGGCAAUGCCAGGGUGUAUUAUGUUCAAAACUGCCCCCUAGAGAAUGAGGACGAGCUAAAGGUUAUGUUUGGACCCAUUGUCUGCACAAAUGAACAACCCUUGUUCCUGGCGUCGAGGAUGCAAAUUCAUCAUCUGAUGAUCAUGUCGAAGCCACUUUAGGUGGGGGUGAAAACAGCACACCUGACCCAUGCUCAAAUGCGACUGGGAAGCGUAAGGUGCGUCAUGAUUCUCCACAACCAAAGAAGAAGAAAGAUACGAGGGAAGAGUACAUGAAACGCCUAGUCGAGGCUUUUGAGUCGCGUUCAAUGACCACUAACAAGUCCAUCACCUCUGCUGAGACCGACCCUGUCCGUGUUGAGGUUAAUGCGCAGUUGCAACAAGUGAUCGAUGAUGGUGCACCUGAAGGCAGCGACCUACAUUUGUUUGCCACUCAUCUGUUGAUUGAGAAAAAGUUUAGAGAUGUAUUUGCAACGCUGAAGACCAAAGAAGGAAGGAACGCUUGGCUGCGCAGUGCUUUCGAGAUACAUGUUAAAAAGUCGACUUAGUGGUGGUCGUCCGACAACAGAGGGUCAUGUUCGCUAUUAUGUUGUUGUUCAUGUUAGUCGUCUCACUGUUAUCAGUCUUGUCGUGUUACAAAAUAAACAUGUCGUACGCAUAAUUUUCCCUUUUGAACAAUUUUGCAAUUAUUCGAGUUGAACAUGUAUUUGAAUAAUCAGAGUUGUAUGUUUCUGAACACGUCAAUCUGUGAACUUUGUGUCACCUAUGGUACAUGAAUGUGUCUUAUAUACUGUGCCUAUACAUGAAUAUGUGACUGCUGUUUGUGUGCAUGCAGAUGGGUGACCCUGCUGCACACACAUAUGAUCAUGACACGGAUGACGGAGAUGCAGAAUUUCUUGUUGCCCUAUAUGCUGUAGACAUUUGGGGCAGGCCUUCCAGUGAGGUUUCUAGAAGAACAAUGGUUGAAACAGGUAUUCAAUGGGUUGAGCGAACUUUGGAGAAUAGUAACGAUUGCUUUGACAUGUUUCGCAUGCGACGUACUGUUUUUAGACGAUUGCAUGAUACUUUGGUCGAAAGUUAUGGUCUUCUUCCAAGCCGUGGUGUCAGUACUAUGGAAGCUCUAGGUAUUUUCUUGUGGGCAUGUGGGAGUCCACAAUCAUUUAGGCAGAUAAGAAAUAAGUUUGGUCACUCAUUGGAAACUAUUAGUCGCAAGUAUAGUGAAGUACUUAAUGCACUACAUAAGAUGUCAGCUGACGUAUUCAAGCCCAAAGACUCAAAUUUCAUAGAGAAUCAUCCUCGUUUGCGAGAGGGGAGAUUUUGGCCCCACUUCAAGGAUUGCAUAGGAGCAAUUGAUGGUACUCACUUUCCAGCGUCUGUACCGGCCUCGGAGCAACCCAAAUAUAUUGGUCGCCACGGUUACGCAUCACAGAAUGUAAUGGCCGUUUGUGACUUCGAUAUGAGGUUCACAUUUGUUGUCACAGGUUGGCCAGAUUCAGUACAUGACACUAGAGUAUUACAAGAUACUUUGAUAACUUAUGCGGACAGGUUCCCCCAUCCACCGGAAGGUAAAUAAGUAUAACUUAUGCGGACAGGUUCCCCCAUCCACCGGAAGGUAAAUAAGUAUGUUGUACUUUUGUAUGAUACGAUAUUCAUUUAUGUCUUAAGUAUUGAACUGUAUAAUUCUGUUUGUGCAGGUAAAUACUAUCUUAUGGAUUCAGGUUAUCCAAAUAGAAAGGGGUACCUUGCACCUUAUAAGGCUCAGAAGUAUCACAUUGCAGAAUGACAAAAUGCGAGGCAACCUAUUAGGAGCAAAGAAGUAUUCAACUAUGCACACUCGUCGCUAUGCAAUGUUAUAGAGCGAUCUUUUGGUGUGCUUAAAAUGAAGUGGAGAAUUCUGUUAAGUCUCCCUUCAUUUUCGCUUAAGAAAAAAUCCAAGAUAAUUAUUGCAUGUAUGACAUUGCAUAACUUCAUUAGAGACAGUGCUCUACACGAUAGAGACUUUGAUGAACUAGGACCUAAUAGCCUUGGUCAUGAUGUAUCUGUAGGUGAGAGUAGUAGUAUCACAUCUGAUGAGUUAGACAUGAGUGCAUUUCGAGAUGCAAUUGCUAAUGCAUUAGUGCCGUAGUUAAAUAUGUAAAUGUAACAGUAGUUAUGUUGUAAUGAACUCCACUAAUUAUAUGUAAUGACCUUUUGUUGGUUCGGUGUUAAUGUGUAUAGUUUCUUCAAACAGAAUCUGCAAUCUGAGAAUCUGUGUAUCCAAACACCUAGAUUCUAACGAACAGCUUUUCCGCACAGCUGGCGAACCAAACACCUAAAUUCUAACCACCAGCUUUUCAGAAAAGCUAUUCAGAAAAAAGCCGAACCAAACACGCCCUACGUGGAGUGGUCUAGGAAGUUGGAAUAGACCCCCACUGUGACUCUAAAGCACAACUACCCCACAAAAAGUACAAGUAGAACAUAUCCAUUUAUCUAAACAACACAUGUAAAUAUGACCUUUAU